This 752-nucleotide long non-coding RNA is filed under the name Ananas comosus (pineapple). RNAcentral describes it as "long non-coding RNA (ACOM_LNC029946)". The record is from RNAcentral. Lineage: Eukaryota; Viridiplantae; Streptophyta; Magnoliopsida; Poales; Bromeliaceae.
UUAUAUGAUUUACGUGAGUAACACUUUUGGCUCUCAAAUUAUGUGGGUAACAUUCUGAUUCUCAAAUUUUAAUUUGUUAUAAUUUUUAACUUAAUUUUUUUUUUAUAAUUAUUAAAUCAAGUUACACAAUCCAAUUUUCUUGAUCGAAUAAUGAUGUGUUGCUGAUGUGGUAUCUUAGUCAUUAUCAUAUUAGUAACCACAGCACUACCAUAUCAACAAUACGUGACCAUUCAGUUAACUAAUAAUACAAUGAGAUUUAACUGCAAUAAUCUGGAAUGCUUGAAUCGUAAGUUGCAAUAAAUUAACGUGAAAGGGUCGAAGCGUUACAUGUACAAUAGUUUGAAGAUAAAAAAUGUAAUGUAGUGUUUUGCGUUCUUUAGUACGCCCAUAGGAUUCUUAACCUUACAACCUCAUCCUGAACUAACCUAAUAUCACUGACCGUCUCUAGAGAAAGUGGCAAAGGGUUUGGUGGUUGGUAUCCGAGAUCAAGAGGUCGGAGAAUUCGUGUUCCAGAAUAAAAAUUACUGUACUAGGCAAUGAUUUUUUAGCAAGAAAUACUCAAACCAAAUCUUUUUAUUGCGUAGAUUAAAUUUGAAUUCAAAUUCGAAUAACUAAUUAGUUUCCAUAUGUUGGCAAUUAAACUUGCCUAGUUAUCUUCCACCAUGUUUGUUCUUUCCCUCAUUGGUCCUAAAUACAAGUAAACGCUUACUAUUCCCAUUUAUUUGCUGGAUCAGGUCUACCACGUGUCUGUG